RNAcentral lists this ribosomal RNA (551 nucleotides) under uncultured bacterium. RNAcentral describes it as "bacterial SSU rRNA". It matches the Rfam family "Bacterial small subunit ribosomal RNA", at positions 355 to 896 of the family's 1533-position model. The record is from RNAcentral.
UGGGGAAUUGUUCGCAAUGGGCGCAAGCCUGACGACGCAACGCCGCGUGGAGGAUGAAGAUUUUCGGAUCGUAAACUCCUGUCGAAUGGGACGAAUGGCCUGGCCGUGAAUAACGGCUGGGAAUGACGGUACCGUGAGAGGAAGCCCCGGCUAACUCCGUGCCAGCAGCCGCGGUAAUACGGGGGGGGCAAGCGUUGUUCGGAAUUACUGGGCGUAAAGGGCUCGUAGGUGGCCACCUAAGUCCGACGUGAAAUCCCUCGGCUCAACCGGGGAACUGCGUCGGAUACUGGGUGGCUUGAAUCCGGGAGAGGGACGUGGAAUUCCAGGUGUAGCGGUGAAAUGCGUAGAUAUCUGGAGGAACACCGGUGGCGAAGGCGGCGUCCUGGACCGGUAUUGACACUGAGGAGCGAAAGCCAGGGGAGCAAACGGGAUUAGAUACCCCGGUAGUCCUGGCCCUAAACGAUGAGUGCUUGGUGUGGCGGGUAUCGAUCCCCGCUGUGCCGGAGCUAACGCGUUAAGCACUCCGCCUGGGGAGUACGGUCGCAAGGCUG